AGACGUUUAUUUCGGCAAGGAAUGAACCUUUCUGCAGAAAAACCUCACCCACUCUGCGUUGAUUAAAGAGGGAACCUAUAUGAAAAGCUUACAGGAAAACAACAAAGGGGAAAUUAGAUUUCUAUGGAUUUUACUGUAAAAAUACUGGAUGUCAUCUGUAUUUUAGUACUAGUUCAGAUUCAUCCUGACUCAGUUGUGAAGUAUUUUGCUGUCAGGAAGAUCUCACACUGUUUUACUAAAGAUGUUCUCAAAAGAGCAGUUCUUCAAGUGAUUUCUAACCAUGCUAUGGUCAUACUAGUGAUCAUCCGGUAACGAGAGAAAAUGCCCUUGCAGGCUGUACCGUGUGCCAGAAGGACAGGGCAAGCCCCCUCUGUGACCAUCCUCUGGGGAGGAUUCAUGGAAGCAGAACGUCUUACCCUGAGGAGAAGCUGGUGAGAUGCCGUUCAGCUCAGUGACAGCGUUCCUCCCUGCAGCCCGUUUCGCAGCUGAGCAAGGACCUGAUAACAUCUAACGGGCAUCUAACGCCCGAUGUGGACAAAACCAGCAGCAGAGCGCUGGUACUCAGUCAUAUCCCCUGUACUGGCUCAGUUCUGAAAACUCACAGUUUGACGUUCUGCCGUGGAAACAGAAACCGAACUAAAUUGUGCGAUGCCGGGAGGAAGAGCCACCGAGAUUUGUCAGACUUUUUGUCUGUUUGUGCCGGUUUGUCAGACUGCUGUGUGCUACCUCAGCUUUUCCCCCAGAAAGGGUGAUUUCAUUCCUCUUAUAUAAAUAUCUCCUAACCUGGUUUUAAACUCAGACUUCUUUGCCAGUAUGUAAUUCUUUACAUUCUGCAAAAUACCCGUAACUGUGUUAGAGCCCCAAACGCUACAUUUUUGUCCUUGAAGGUUUUGAUUCCCAACACUUGAAGCAGUAAAGCCCCACCCCACGCAUUUCAGUUUUAUCCCUCCGUUUUUCACUUGCCGAUGCAUACAAAUGAAGACCUAGGUAAACCUUUUCAGGAUGCUAAUGGCGAGCUCUCCAGUUCCCACGACAGUGCUAGCAGGGUGCAAAGCUGUGAGGAGAAAAGGAGGAAAUUAGCCUGUCACCCUGGGAAAGCAAUGCCUACUGAUACAAGGAGCAGUCUAAUCUCAGUAGCCUUUCUAAACAGUUUACAUGAAAAAAACAACAAACAGAGGGAAGGAAGGAAGAAAAGGAUUUCUGUUGUAAAUUGACAGGAAUGGCUGUAUUGGGUUUCCGCUGAUGAAAUCUGUCCACAGCAAAGGGUUAGAAGGAAUAAAGGAGGCUUUAUGCCUUGUUAGGGUGAGAGAAAACAAGACAUAGUGAUGAAGCUGAAUAUGUAAGCAAGCUUCUCAAAACUUAUGUGAAUAUUUGGGAUUUACACUUUAUUUUCUGGAUAAACCAUCCACCAGUUUCUUUUUUUGGUAAUUUUGAGGGAAUUUUUUCGGUGUGUGGCUCAGCUAUUUAUCAGUGUUCAAAACAGAGAUUAUACACUGUAGUCAGAGAUGAUAGCAACUCACUAGGCUGUUUUAAAUGCAGAUUAAAAAUUAUUGAAAGCAGACUGGAUUCUGGAUAACCAUACCAGUAGUGUGCUAGUAAAAACAAGUAAUUUUAACAUAGGCCAUACAAAUCACAUUUAUAUAUACAAUCCAAAUGUUUGGUUUUUACUACAUUAGCAGUGUGCAAAACAGAAUGCAUUUGAGAAAUCCCUGAAAUAAAGAAGAAUAUAUUUAGUACCAAUGGACUGCACAGAAGAGAGAUAAACUACUAGAUUACCUUUUGGACAUGAGAUUAAUAUUCAAUGGGGAGAUGGUAAAAACCUGAAGGUUUAGAAAAUACAAAUGUAAAAUUCCUUACAUCAUUCUGCAACUGUGCAGUUCAGAGAUACAUUAAAAUGUCAAUAUUGGAGCACUGGCACUUAGGGAAACACUAGGUCAAUGAAGAACUGAAUCUGAUUUGAUGAACUGGAUGACUGGUAAGACACAAAAUCUAAAAGAGCUUAAUUCUUGAAUAUUAUUUCCUAAAGCAGCGAGAAUGCCAAAGAAAGUAUGAGGAGAAGACUUAAAGCUUUCAGUAAGGAACGUAAUGACCCAGGUACGUCAAUUAGAUAUUCUGCCCUCAAGAACGUGCAGGACCUGUGGUUCCACAACGUGAAGUCUCUGGCAGCAAUAUUGGCUGCAGGUCAUGUUGAAACAGUCUUUUUCAGAUGAAGAUUCAUGGUGCCACUUGCCAUCCUUGCAGUGGAGAAACCAAACUUAUUGCCAACCUAGACUGUAUUACAAUAGAAGAGAAAUAUGCAUCGUGUUUUUUUCCCCAAAUUUUCUCUUCCAUCCUCAUCCACAAAGUAUUAAGCUGAAUAGGGAAUCCUGUCUUAGCUUCUUUUGAUUCCCAUUUAUUUAAGUAUAAAUAUAUAAAAAGCGAAACAUUUCCUAGUGCAAUAAAGUAGAAUACCUAUUUUUUAUGCUUUUUCUUGAUUCUAAAUGUCAGAAUUAUUUCCUGUUCACUGAGCAGAGGAAGGCAUAAAAAGUAAGACUUAUCACUGCCUGGUGGGCAAGACACUUUUAUCGUACUGCUUCAUGGGAUAAUGACUGCUUAUAACAAAUGCCUAGCUGUAAUGGGAGAUAUUUGUCUCUGAAUAACAUAGCAGCUGGGGCACUCUGGUGAGACACCGAGGUUCAAACCCCAGUUUCAAAUCA
This is a long non-coding RNA of Aquila chrysaetos chrysaetos, 2696 nucleotides long. RefSeq lists it as uncharacterized. NCBI's taxonomy places the organism in Eukaryota, Metazoa, Chordata, Aves, Accipitriformes, Accipitridae. The record is from RefSeq and is a predicted model, not a curated record. The transcript is spliced from 4 exons.